GGUGCCUACUGAGCUGAUAUCAGUUCUCAUUUUACACACUGGCUCAGUUCAGCAGGAACAGG
This 62-nucleotide microRNA precursor is filed under the name Otolemur garnettii (small-eared galago). RNAcentral describes it as "microRNA oga-mir-24 precursor (oga-mir-24-1)". Its record names the gene oga-mir-24-1. It matches the Rfam family "mir-24 microRNA precursor family", at positions 7 to 67 of the family's 69-position model. Rfam says of the family: This family represents the microRNA (miRNA) mir-24 family. miRNAs are transcribed as ~70nt precursors (modelled here) and subsequently processed by the Dicer enzyme to give a ~22nt product. In this case the mature sequence comes from the 3' arm of the precursor. The record is from miRBase by way of RNAcentral. Lineage: Eukaryota; Metazoa; Chordata; Mammalia; Primates; Galagidae.